This 182-nucleotide non-coding RNA is filed under the name Shewanella dokdonensis. RNAcentral's name for it is "6S RNA". It matches the Rfam family "6S / SsrS RNA". Rfam says of the family: E. coli 6S RNA was the first non coding RNA to be sequenced, but its function was unknown until recently. The record is from RNAcentral. Lineage: Bacteria; Pseudomonadati; Pseudomonadota; Gammaproteobacteria; Alteromonadales; Shewanellaceae.
UGCUCCCUGGGGUGUACGAUAGUCGGUAAUGUCCCUGUGCCGAUAUUUUUGAAAAAGGGCUACUUUCUUACUGACAUUGCGCAUGCUCGGCUUGACCGAGAAGCCUUAGGAGGUAACCAGCAGCCCGCCUUGAACUGUUAGGUUCAAGGGCUUACACCGACACCGGCAUCGCCGGGGAGCAU